Non-coding RNA from Danio rerio (zebrafish), 209 nucleotides. NCBI's taxonomy places the organism in Eukaryota, Metazoa, Chordata, Actinopteri, Cypriniformes, Danionidae. The record is from RefSeq and is a predicted model, not a curated record.
GGCAGACGAACGUGGAAAGCACAUUGAGGAGGAGAAGAUGGUGGCUUUGUCAGAUUGCUGCUGAAUUCAGUUGAAUCACUUCUGUCCCACUAAUUCAAACAUGUCAAAACUGGAUAGUUACUCCAGCAAGCUGGCCAGCAUCUCCCGUAGAGAAGGAGGAAUUGCAUAGAGGGCAUAAUAUUUGGAAAGUGAUGGCUACCAUUGAUGAG